UCCGGUUUGUCACCGGCAGUCUCGCAUGAGUCCCCAACUAAAUGCUGGCAACAUGCGACGGGGGUUGCGCUCGUUGCGGGACUUAACCCAACAUCUCACGACACGAGCUGACGACAGCCAUGCAGCACCUGCGUUCGCGUUCCCUUUCGGGCACCCCCGCCUCUCAGCGGGCUUCGCGACAUGUCAAGGGUAGGUAAGGUUGUUCGCGUUGCAUCGAAUUAAUCCACAUCAUCCACCGCUUGUGCGGGUCCCCGUCAAUUCCUUUGAGUUUUAACCUUGCGGCCGUACUCCCCAGGCGGUCAACUUCACGCGUUAGCUGCGGUACUGAGGAAUCGCUCCCCCAACACCCAGUUGACAUGGUUUAGGGCGUGGACUAC
Molecule: unclassified non-coding RNA, 377 nt
Filed under: uncultured Gammaproteobacteria bacterium
Lineage: Bacteria; Pseudomonadati; Pseudomonadota; Gammaproteobacteria
Description: contains 16S-23S intergenic spacer region
Source: RNAcentral